CGAUGCAACGCGAAGAACCUUACCUGGUCUUGACAUCCCGGAGACCCUUAGGAAACUAGGGGUGCUUCCAUCUGGAAGAAUCUGGAGACAGGUGCUGCAUGGCUGUCGCCAGCUCGUGUCGUGAGAUGUUGGGUUAAGUCCGCAACGAGCGCAACCCUUGCCUUUAGUUGCCAGCAGUUCGGCUGGGCACUCUAAAGGGACUGCCGGUGUUAAACCGGAGGAAGGUGGGGAUGACGUCAAGUCAUCAUGGCCCUUACGGCCUGGGCUACACACGUGCUACAAUGGUCGGUACAAAGGGUUGCCAAGCCGCGAGGUGGAGCUAAUCCCAUAAAACCGAUCGUAGUCCGGAUCGCAGUCUGCAACUCGACUGCGUGAAGUCGGAAUCGCUAGUAAUCGUGAAUCAGAAUGUCACGGUGAAUACGUUCCCGGGCCUU
Molecule: ribosomal RNA, 434 nt
Filed under: uncultured Pseudomonas sp.
Lineage: Bacteria; Pseudomonadati; Pseudomonadota; Gammaproteobacteria; Pseudomonadales; Pseudomonadaceae
Description: bacterial SSU rRNA
Rfam family: Bacterial small subunit ribosomal RNA
Source: RNAcentral